This 520-nucleotide ribosomal RNA is filed under the name uncultured archaeon. RNAcentral describes it as "bacterial SSU rRNA". It matches the Rfam family "Archaeal small subunit ribosomal RNA", at positions 325 to 848 of the family's 1478-position model. The record is from RNAcentral.
ACGGGGUGCAGAGGCGCGAAACCUUUGCAAUGUGCGCAAGCACGACAAGGUUAAUCCGAGUGUUUCCUGCUAAAGGAAUCUUUUGUUAGUUUUAAAAUCACUAUUGAAUAAGGGGUGGGCAAGUUCUGGUGUCAGCCGCCGCGGUAAAACCAGCACCUCAAGUGGUCAGGAGGAUUAUUGGGCCUAAAGCAUCCGUAGCCUGCUCUGUAAGUUUCCGGUUAAAUCCAUUAGCUCAACUAAUGGCCUGCCGGAAAUACUGUAGAGCUAGGAAGUGGGAGAGGUAGACGGUACUCGGUAGGAAGGGGUAAAAUCCUUUGAUCUAUUGAUGACCACCUGUGGCGAAGGCGGUCUACCAGAACACGUUCGACGGUGAGGGAUGAAAGCUGGGGGAGCAAACCGGAUUAGAUACCCGGGUAGUCCCAGCUGUAAACGAUGCAGACUCGGUGAUGCCCUGGCUUGUGGCCAGUGCAGUGCCGCAGGGAAGCCGUUAAGUUUGCCGCCUGGAAGUACGUACGCAAGU